Molecule: long non-coding RNA, 595 nt
Filed under: Malus domestica (apple)
Lineage: Eukaryota; Viridiplantae; Streptophyta; Magnoliopsida; Rosales; Rosaceae
Description: long non-coding RNA (MDOM_LNC010751)
Source: RNAcentral
ACGAACCAUGCGUGACCAAACUUUCGUCAUGCAAGGUUUUGCGUGACAAAAUUGUACUUUGCGCAACAAACUUAUUUCGUCGCGCAAAGUGUUUUUUUGUAGUAGUGUUUGCAAAAAAGAGGUUGCUCUUGUCUUAGGGUUUUAGCCAAAUAGAACUUUAGAAAAGAAUUGCAUGAUGGUAAAUGUUUAAUUAUUGAGUGUGGGUUUAUUGAUUAAUUUUAGUUUUAUUGUUAGUUUAAUUUUGUACGUGAUGUUAAUUAUACAAUAGAGUAAAAAAGACGAUUCACAUUUGAAAUUUAAGUAGGGUGUAGAAAGAGGUCAUAUGGGUUCAAAUAAAAUUUCCCUAUUUUUAAUUAACUGGAGCUUGCAACCAAUUAUAUUCAACAACAAAUAUUUUUAAAAUGAAAGCAAUUACGAUAUAAGAAAAAUUAUGAGAUAAUAUGACAUGUCUAGGUGCCGCUCCCUCGAGUGUGGAUUUCGAGGGAGUCUAUUAGGAUGGUUAGUUCCGUAGGGUUGUCGAUGAGUUCGACGUGCACUAAGUGGAUGGGUAACUGUUGACCCUAAAAACUACCUAGCCUAAGUGGUGCGCAUGCCG